RNAcentral lists this ribosomal RNA (733 nucleotides) under uncultured fungus. Its description in RNAcentral is "eukaryotic LSU rRNA". The stretch from base 215 to 369 matches the Rfam family "5.8S ribosomal RNA". Lineage: Eukaryota; Fungi. The record is from RNAcentral.
GGAAGGAUCAUUACCGAAUUGUCAACAAGAGUUGUUGCUGGUCUCCGUAUGGGGGCAUGUGCACGCUCUGUUUACACAUCCACUCACACCUGUGCACGCUCUGUAGUUCUAUGGCCUGGGUGGGCUCUGUCCUCCUGCUGUGGUUCUAUGUCUUUACACACACACUACAACAAAGUCUCAUGGAAUGUAUGUCGCGUUUAACGCAAUGGAAUACAACUUUCAGCAACGGAUCUCUUGGCUCUCGCAUCGAUGAAGAACGCAGCGAAAUGCGAUAAGUAAUGUGAAUUGCAGAAUUCAGUGAAUCAUCGAAUCUUUGAACGCACCUUGCGCCCUUUGGCUAUUCCGAAGGGCAUGCCUGUUUGAGUAUCAUGAACACCUCAACUCUCAUGGCUUGCCAUGAUGUGCUUGGACUUUGGGGGUCUUGUUGGCCUGUGAGCCAGCUCCUCUUAAAUGAAUCAGCUUGCCGGUGUUUGGUGGCGUCACAGGUGUGAUAACUAUCUACGCUUGUGGUUUCCCACCAGGGUAACCUUCAGCAAUGAAGGUUCACCGGAGCUUAUAAAUGUCUCUCCUCAGUGAGGACAGAUUUUGACCAUUUGAUCUCAAAUCAGGUAGGACUACCCGCUGAACUUAAGCAUAUCAAUAAGCGGAGGAAAAGAAACUAACAAGGAUUCCCCUAGUAACUGCGAGUGAAGCGGGAAGAGCUCAAAUUUAAAAUCUGGCGUGCCUCUGGUCG